GUACAUGAAUACAACAAAGCGUUAAUGCACCAAAUCCCAUUAGAACUCUGCAUUUAAGCGCACUUAGGCUAGAGUAGUACUAGGAUGGGUGACCACCCAGGAAGUCCUACUAUUUUAUAUGCC
Picea glauca (white spruce) is the source of this 123-nucleotide non-coding RNA. NCBI's taxonomy places the organism in Eukaryota, Viridiplantae, Streptophyta, Pinopsida, Pinales, Pinaceae. The record is from Rfam.